UGGGGAAUUUUGGACAAUGGGGGAAACCCUGAUCCAGCCAUCCCGCGUGUGCGAUGAAGGCCUUCGGGUUGUAAAGCACUUUUUGCAGGAAAGAAACGUCAUGGGUUAAUACCCCGUGAAACUGACGGUACCUGCAGACUAAGCACCGGCUAACUACGUGCCAGCAGCCGCGGUAAUACGUAGGGUGCAAGCGUUAAUCGGAAUUACUGGGCGUAAAGCGUGCGCAGGCGGUUCGGAAAGAAAGAUGUGAAAUCCCAGAGCUCAACGAUGGAACUGCAUUUUUAGCUACCGGGCUAGAGUGUGUCAGAGGGAGGUGGAAUUCCGCGUGUAGCAGUGAAAUGCGUAGAUAUGCGGAGGAACACCGAUGGCGAAGGCAGCCUCCUGGGAUAACACUGACGCUCAUGCACGAAAGCGUGGGGAGCAAACAGG
Molecule: ribosomal RNA, 429 nt
Filed under: Acidobacteriota bacterium
Lineage: Bacteria; Pseudomonadati; Acidobacteriota
Description: Acidobacteria bacterium partial 16S ribosomal RNA
Rfam family: Bacterial small subunit ribosomal RNA
Source: RNAcentral